Molecule: ribosomal RNA, 470 nt
Filed under: uncultured organism
Description: partial 16S ribosomal RNA
Rfam family: Bacterial small subunit ribosomal RNA
Source: RNAcentral
ACUCCUACGGGAGGCAGCAGUGGGGAAUUUUGGACAAUGGGCGAAAGCCUGAUCCAGCCAUGCCGCGUGCAGGAUGAAGGCCUUCGGGUUGUAAACUGCUUUUGUACGGAACGAAACGGCCUUUUCUAAUAAAGAGGGCUAAUGACGGUACCGUAAGAAUAAGCACCGGCUAACUACGUGCCAGCAGCCGCGGUAAUACGUAGGGUGCAAGCGUUAAUCGGAAUUACUGGGCGUAAAGCGUGCGCAGGCGGUUAUGUAAGACAGUUGUGAAAUCCCCGGGCUCAACCUGGGAACUGCAUCUGUGACUGCAUAGCUAGAGUACGGUAGAGGGGGAUGGAAUUCCGCGUGUAGCAGUGAAAUGCGUAGAUAUGCGGAGGAACACCGAUGGCGAAGGCAAUCCCCUGGACCUGUACUGACGCUCAUGCACGAAAGCGUGGGGAGCAAACAGGAUUAGAAACCCUUGUAGUCCC